RNAcentral lists this ribosomal RNA (492 nucleotides) under uncultured bacterium. RNAcentral describes it as "partial 16S ribosomal RNA". It matches the Rfam family "Bacterial small subunit ribosomal RNA", at positions 29 to 507 of the family's 1533-position model. The record is from RNAcentral.
AUUGAACGCUGGCGGCAUGCUUUACACAUGCAAGUCGAACGGUAACAGGCCUUCGGGUGCUGACGAGUGGCGAACGGGUGAGUAAUGCAUCGGAACGUACCCAGAGGUGGGGGAUAACGCAGCGAAAGCUGUGCUAAUACCGCAUGUGAUCUGAGGAUGAAAGCGGGGGACCGAGCAGCAAUGUUUGGCCUCGCGCCUUUGGAGCGGCCGAUGUCGGAUUAGCUAGUUGGUGGGGUAAAGGCCUACCAAGGCGACGAUCCGUAGCUGGUAUGAGAGGACGACCAACCACACUGGGACUGAGACACGGCCCCGACUCCUACGGGAGGCAGCAGUGGGGAAUUUUGGACAAUGGGCGCAAGCCUGAUCCAGCAAUGCCGCGUGCGGGAAGAAGGCCUUCGGGUUGUAAACCGCUUUUGGCAGGAACGAAACGGUGUCCGCUAAUACCGGGCGCUAAUGACGGUACCUGCAGAAUAAGCACCGGCUAACUACGUG